CAGCAGCCACGGGAAUACGUAGGUGGCAAGCGUUGUCCGGAAUUAUUGGGCGUAAAGAGCUCGUAGGCGGUCUGUCGCGUCGGCUGUGAAAACCUGAGGCUCAACCUCGGGCCUGCAGUCGAUACGGGCAGACUAGAGUUCGGUAGGGGAGACUGGAAUUCCUGGUGUAGCGGUGGAAUGCGCAGAUAUCAGGAGGAACACCGGUGGCGAAGGCGGGUCUCUGGGCCGAAACUGACGCUGAGGAGCGAAAGCGUGGGGAGCGAACAGGAUUAGAGACCCCCGUAGUCCCUGUCUCUUAUAC
RNAcentral lists this ribosomal RNA (301 nucleotides) under uncultured bacterium. RNAcentral's name for it is "partial 16S ribosomal RNA". It matches the Rfam family "Bacterial small subunit ribosomal RNA", at positions 509 to 807 of the family's 1533-position model. The record is from RNAcentral.